Long non-coding RNA from Vitis vinifera (wine grape), 901 nucleotides. RefSeq lists it as uncharacterized. The transcript has 2 exons. Lineage: Eukaryota; Viridiplantae; Streptophyta; Magnoliopsida; Vitales; Vitaceae. The record is from RefSeq and is a predicted model, not a curated record.
AGGGUUCCGCCAAAUCUUGGGCUCAAUUGGCCACUACCCAAACCUUCUUCCCUCAGAAUCUAAAGCCCGAAAUCUCUUAUCCAAACUCGCUUUUUUCACCUUUCAGGUUCUGAACCUUGUUGAAGAGAUCCCCAUACAUUAUACAUUCUCUACCGGUCUAUAGAAGAUAAGACACCAUCCAUGGCAGCUCAAUCCAGUAUUAACAGUACUUUCAUAUGCUACUCAUUUCCUUCACAAAACCCUAGUUUCAAAAUCCCCAAAACCCCCUUUCCCAUUCCCUUGAACCCCAAACCCCUUUUUCUGUGGUCAUCCACCGAUACUCCUGGCAUCAGAACAAAACUCAGUAUGAAACUUUAAGGACUCGCUGUUUCACCAGAAGCAUCUACUGCAAACCCAAUAUCUUCUGAAGAAAAUGAGAAAGUUGAGGUGAUUGUGAAGGUGAUGGAGACACCAAGGCUGGUACUGAAGUUCGUAUGGAUGGAGAAGAACAUUGGGGUGGCGUUGGAUCAAGUGAUACCAGGCUAUGGCACCAAUCCACUGAGCCCGUACUACUUCUGGCCAGGGAAAGAUGCAUGGGAGGAGCUCAAGUCCACUCUAGAGAGUAAGCCAUGGAUAUCUCAGAAGAAGAUGAUUAUUCUUCUCAAUGAGGCUACUGAUAUCAUCAAUUUGUGGCAGCAGAGUGGUGGCAAUCAAUCUUAGAAACACUAAUCUUGUUUAUGAGUCAUUACAGAAACAAGCCUUGUAAUUUCGUCAUUGGGGUUGCUGAUGCUUCUUUCACCCUCCAUAUCUGAAAUCUGAAUUUUACCAGAUCUUUAGUAGUUUUGGUUUGUAUUGCCAUUGAGAGUGUUCAUAACACUACAGAAUGCCAUGUAAAAUGAGGAAAACUCUCACCAUGGUGCAA